Long non-coding RNA from Triticum dicoccoides, 1052 nucleotides. RefSeq lists it as uncharacterized. Lineage: Eukaryota; Viridiplantae; Streptophyta; Magnoliopsida; Poales; Poaceae. The record is from RefSeq and is a predicted model, not a curated record. The transcript has 3 exons.
UCUCCAUAUCUCAUCUUCGCAACCACCACGUCGCCUCCAUGAGUCUCGGGGGAGAACCCUAGCCGCCACUCCUUCCCUCCCCUAUACCUCCUCCCCGUCUCGCCGCCGCCGCCGGAGUGCGCCCCGGGGCGAAGCUAGGGCCAGCGCCUCCAUGCGUCUCGGGGGAGAACCCUAGCCACCACCCCUUCCCUUCCCUAACUCCUCCCUGUCUCGCCGCCCCCGCCGGAGGGCGUGCCGGGGCGAAGCUACGGCCAUCCCCAAGGAGGGCGACGACGGGGCACCUGGUUUGUGUCGGCUUGGCACGGGCGCGCGGCAAACGCUUGGUGCAGCAGCGUUGAGGCACGAACUACGUUGCCGCAGGAGGGUCGCCGACACGAGUUGCUGGCUUGCUGCCUGGCUUAACGGUGACGCGGGCAGGGCACCAUGGUGCUAUCUGACCCCCUGCCUUGCUUCCGCCGGAUGCGGGCUCUCUCCACUCCUCAUGCAUCCGCCGUGUUGGUCCAAGCAGAGGACGAUGUCCAGCCCUUGCCAACAAGAUCAUAAUGAUUUCAGAAGUACGGUCUAAUGGAAGGGUGGAGGAAGAUUUUUGAAAUGGCAAAGUCGUCAGCAAGGACAUGAGACAAGAGGUCUGACCGAACUACGUCAGUCAACUACGUCAGGUGCACCUUGACCUUCUGCCUGAGCAGAUGAACUAGCCACUGCCCUGGAUGUUGUGUCGUCCUUCAGUCCCGCUCUGCUGCUUCUGACCAAGCACCUCAAACCAAGACUGAUUGCUCUAUUAUUGUGAUCGGUCAAUACAAUAUUGGUAUAUAUGUCUUGUAUAGUGCCCUUUUGCAUUAGUUUUCUUAUAUUUGCGGAGUGUGCAAAUGAGUUUCUUCUUACCUUUACUCAUUAAUAAUAGUAGUGAGCGAUUCUCUGUGUUCUGAGUUAUCUAUUGGAUCAAUGUAUUUUCUGGAUUUAUGAUGUUCAUUUUCAAAGUGAUAUUUGUACUAUGUUCAAAUUUUGAUGCAAGUUUUAACAUGUCAAUGGGAUCAUUAUGGCUUGAUUUUUUC